Danio rerio (zebrafish) is the source of this 115-nucleotide non-coding RNA. The record is from Rfam. NCBI's taxonomy places the organism in Eukaryota, Metazoa, Chordata, Actinopteri, Cypriniformes, Danionidae.
GCCGGCAGCUAGCUCUCUGCAACUCUCACAUGGUCACCCACUGAAGCUAAGCAGGGCUGCGCCCGGUCAGUACCUGGAUGGGAGACCACAUGGGAAAGCUAGGUUGCUGCCGGAA